UAAAAUUUUUCGUAUAGUAAAAUUCAUUUAAUAUAUAAAUUAUAUACAAAAUGGUAUUCAAAACCACACUCGUUAGAACCUAAAAAAAUUUAUAUUAUUUAUAAUAUAAAAAAAAA
Molecule: unclassified non-coding RNA, 116 nt
Filed under: soil metagenome
Description: partial internal transcribed spacer 1
Source: RNAcentral